CAGAAUAAAGCUAGAUAGUUGAGCAUUUCAUUUACACUGAAAAAAAUUCUGUGCAAUUCAGAGUAUUCUGA
Molecule: transfer RNA, 71 nt
Filed under: Triops cancriformis
Lineage: Eukaryota; Metazoa; Arthropoda; Branchiopoda; Notostraca; Triopsidae
Description: tRNA-Val
Rfam family: tRNA
About the family: Transfer RNA (tRNA) molecules are approximately 80 nucleotides in length. Their secondary structure includes four short double-helical elements and three loops (D, anti-codon, and T loops). Further hydrogen bonds mediate the characteristic L-shaped molecular structure. tRNAs have two regions of fundamental functional importance: the anti-codon, which is responsible for specific mRNA codon recognition, and the 3' end, to which the tRNAs corresponding amino acid is attached (by aminoacyl-tRNA synthetases). tRNAs cope with the degeneracy of the genetic code in two manners: having more than one tRNA (with a specific anti-codon) for a particular amino acid; and 'wobble' base-pairing, i.e. permitting non-standard base-pairing at the 3rd anti-codon position.
Source: RNAcentral